UCGAAGUAACCGCGCAUAACCUCAAAAUUUUACCGCGCUUUUUCACGCGACGGUUGAUCACUGACAUUUGCUCAGAUAAAUUCGACAUCUUGCGAUCGUUUUCGGAAGUUUUCAGGAACCGUAUGCCACUUAAACAGAGAUAUUCUUAUUUUCUCUGAUCAACUGACUUUAAGCUUGACAGGAGCUGUUCGCGUGUUCAAGAAGGUCCCAUGUGCUCUUGGCCUGCUUUUGGUAACCCUUCUUGUUCCUUUUGCCGGGUCUGCGCAAACUGGAAAACCAUCCUGCGGCUAUGGCGACGGCGCUAACGUCCCGACGGUUGUCCGUCUGCACGUUGCUACCGCGAACUUCGUCGAGGGCGUCCACCGACCUGCCGGUGAAAAUCAUGCUUGGCACCGAGUUCGCGUUGCCAAACUUCACAAACCAAUGGAAUUCGUUCCACUCAGCUCCCUUCACUUCUCCUGAACCGUGAUACUUUCAGGAACAACCUAACCACACUUUCUGACACCAUGCGCUGCAUGCGACACUGUAGCCGUUCGAUCUCGAGGGUGACAUUGACAUACGCUUCUAUCGUUAACCGAUCGUUAACGCGAUCAAAAACGAUCGCUCGCGUUACGAGUACUCGAGUAAACGUGAUCCUUUGUCGAAAGAAACUGUCGACACGCGAGAUCAAAGAUCUCAACGGUUCAACGACCCUGAAUCAGUAAUGCAAUUCCUUCAAAAUUAGUAUCUUUCGAUCGAUCCACGAUCCACGUAUUGACCACUACACGUGAUAAUCUAUCAAUAAACGCAUCUAAAAUUUAGAAACACGUCUCGGAAUUACUGAUCAAAUAAUGUUCACUCGUCUAUCGAUGAAAAUAUCGGUGAACGAAGUAAGAGUCUGAAGUAGGAUCUUUUACUAAACCUUAUUUAUCACUUAACAUCGAUAAACUCUGAUAAGUUGGAAUGACAAUAGUCACGCAAGAUGAUACGAGCAAUUUAAAGCUUCCGCAAGAUUUAAAAAAAAACACUGUCGUACGAUCGUUUUAUCUUCUCAAAGUCGACUCUUUCCGAUAACAACAACGAAAGCAGCGUAAUUUUGACCGGAGACCGCGAUUGUAUCGGGUUAGCUGAGAUCGUGAUACUGCGGGAUAAAGAACGAUCCGCCUCACGCAGCGGCUGCCGUGCGACUCGCGACCGCGAGUUAGAGUAAACGGUCGCGCUGGAA
This 1204-nucleotide unclassified non-coding RNA is filed under the name Bombus terrestris (buff-tailed bumblebee). RNAcentral describes it as "misc RNA ENSBTSG00005035157.1". Lineage: Eukaryota; Metazoa; Arthropoda; Insecta; Hymenoptera; Apidae. The record is from RNAcentral.